CCUUUAUAGCUCAACGGUAGAGCGAAAUACUGUUAAUAUUUUGAUGUAUGUUCAAUUCAUACUAGGGGCUU
This 71-nucleotide transfer RNA is filed under the name Opegrapha vulgata. RNAcentral's name for it is "tRNA-Asn". It matches the Rfam family "tRNA". Rfam says of the family: Transfer RNA (tRNA) molecules are approximately 80 nucleotides in length. Their secondary structure includes four short double-helical elements and three loops (D, anti-codon, and T loops). Lineage: Eukaryota; Fungi; Ascomycota; Arthoniomycetes; Arthoniales; Opegraphaceae. The record is from RNAcentral.